RNAcentral lists this long non-coding RNA (2231 nucleotides) under Suricata suricatta (meerkat). RNAcentral describes it as "lncRNA (ENSSSUG00005006437.1)". Lineage: Eukaryota; Metazoa; Chordata; Mammalia; Carnivora; Herpestidae. The record is from RNAcentral.
GGCGGGGCGAGGAGGUGGUCAAGGAGCCAACCAAUGGAGAGGCCGGGUUGGCCAAUGGGGCGCCUCGGGGGCGGGGCAAACACUUCCGGGGAGGGACAACCAGGCGACUGGGGCGGGGCCAGGACGCGAGGCGGGGCCCACUCGGGAAAACACUCCUGCCUCCGCGCGUGUUUGUCCUGCAGGGUGGGGAGGCCAGUGCGUGUUCGUGAGUCACCGGGCUAGCCUGCAGGGGCUGCGGGGGUGUGGGUGUGAGAGAGGCGAGACCGCAGAGACACGGAGGGGGACAGCUACAGGGAGAGACAAAGAUGGAGAGACAGAGACUCUGAGACACACAAGGAAAGGCGGCUAAGAGAAACAGAGAGAGAGAGACAUCUGUGAGAUGCCGGGAGAAAUGAAGCAGCUCAGGGGUCAGAGACUGGGUGACACACCCUGCGCCGUGGAUCCUGAGAAGAGCACAGUGAACCUUCAGACUCAAAGCCCAGAGACGUCACUGACGGAGGGGGAACCAAGGCCGAGUGGAGAUCCUGGCCUUUCUCUACCUUUCUCAACAUGGACCCAACCCAGGUUCAUCGGAACGUCUCAUGGCAUGAAUCAGACAAAACAUUUCGGGUCAGAACCGGACAUAAGCAAACAGCUUCUGAAACACGGUGUUACCCAAAUUCCAACCUCUGAUGCUGUGUUCCCGUUUAAUUACAUCCGUCUCCACCUGUCUUGUGUGUUAUUCGUAUUUUUUCUUACUUAAGUUUUACAAGGAAACUUGAUGUCACCAUCAGAAGUGGAAACCCAGAACCAUACACAGACAUGAUGAUAAGCUAUAAAAAGAAACACCGGGAGGAGACAACCAUGUGACAGAUUCUCAAACCGAUAACGUCACAGCCAGAGAGCCGGGGCAGGAGUCAGAUAUAGGCAGCACUCAGGGAGACCUCCCAGGCUUGAGUGGGGGCAGGAAGAACUCUCUCACUGCGAAGUCCCCGGACCCUGGCACGGGGGGGCAUACUGGUUUCAGGUAUCUGGUGCCCCACUGAAAAGAAGAGAAGACUGAGGCGUGAAGAAAGGCACAUAAACUCCAAAGUCUGGGUCUCCAGGUCCUGGCUCUGCCAGACUAAGGGGGAUCGAGGGUCUCUAGUUCUUGGGGAGACCGGAUCCAACUGAUUCAGCCCCCCAGGGCCAGAAGGGCCAUCCCAGGUGUGAGUCAAAUCUGAGGUCGGGGCCCCUGGGGCAUCUUGGAGUGGGUUGGGGCAGGUUUGAGAGGACACUGCUGCCUGUUGAAAACAUUCCCAGCCGGUGGAAUCAUAACGCACAGACCUGCGUGGGCAGCUGCGUCUGGAAUGUGCUUUCAAGAGGCCGCCAGGCCAAUGAGCCUGGUGCUUUUAGAGCACAGGUCCAGCUUCCACUCUGGGCCAAUGGGGUAACGAAAUCUGAGAGUCCAAGGACAUGUGGCAGCUUGAGCUCGAGCCCCUAAGGCCUGCUUGCCUGGCCCCUGAGAACUCCUCCAGCUUUGCCUUUGCUUCCUCUUCCUAACCUCCACUCUGCUCAAUUUUCUCCAGCUAUCUACACUUGACUCUGCCUCAGGGCCUUUGCACUUGCUGUGAACUCUGCUUGGAACACAGUGAUCCCACAUAUUCUUAGUCUCAUCCCUCCAUGCCAGCUCAUGCUCCCCUCCCCUGGCCUCAGUUUCCCCAGUACCUUCCUGGUCUGAUUCUAAAACUCUGGCUCUGACUACUCCCUAGUGGGACCACCCUGAAGAUCAGGUCUGGGAGCCUCCAGGCUCCAGGCUCAUUCCAUUUGUCAUCAAAACAAUUUGAUAGGUUGGUCUGCUUUUCGCGCCCGGCUCUGCUCCUGUCCUUGGACUGGAGGGAGUGGACGAGGGAGACGUCCCAGAAACGACGGCCCAGCUGCCCCUGUUCUGGGGCUGGGAGUCAGACAGACCUCUCCCUUCACUGCGGUCUCCUUAAUGUUGGGGCAACUUGCUCGACCUCUCCCAGCCUCAACUUCCUCCGCAGUAAACUGGGGCUAGUCAUAGUUGGCGCUCCAAAGUCGAAGUUGGAGCAAUGAAGAUCGCAGACCGGAAUCUCUAAAUUGCAGAAUGCUAUCCUAAUUAUCUGGCGAUCAUUACUUUAAAACAAAAACAAAAACAAAAACAAAAACAAAAACAAAACAAAACAAAACAAAACACCAACCUGGGUUCCUGGUCCUCUCGAAGGUGGCUUAGAGUCACCCCGGGUUACCCA